Haemorhous mexicanus (house finch) is the source of this 958-nucleotide long non-coding RNA. RefSeq lists it as uncharacterized. The transcript has 3 exons. Lineage: Eukaryota; Metazoa; Chordata; Aves; Passeriformes; Fringillidae. The record is from RefSeq and is a predicted model, not a curated record.
UCACAUGGGUAAUGGCGGGCGCAGCUGGCAGAACAGAUAGAAAAGGGGUUUUUUUUACAAACUCCUGGGGCAGCUGAUCCCAGUGCCCCGCUGGAUGGCACAAUGAGCUGUAGCAGGAACCUCGGAGCAGCGGCUGGAAUGGCAAGGUGUGACCGACAGACACAGGUUAUGAUCGGUGGACAAAAGGAGGCAAUAAAACAAAGAGAAGGGAAAAAGGCUCCUUAAAACCACGGUAAUUGCCCCCCCAAGAGUAGUAGUGUGCAUGAAGAACCCAGAAAGGAAAAAGGAUUGGUGCAUUUGCUGCAUGCUACACUGAGCCCAGUGAGAAGAAGGGGGCACUGUGCCCUUUUGCAACAAUAGCCUUGGAAGCUGUCCCACCUCUUGGCCUGGCUGGACUUCUCCUGAGCUUUUGGGUGGUCCCCCACAGAAGACCCCUCUCGUUCAUCUACAACUGCCGUGACAGACAAACUGAGAUGACAGAAGCCUCUCCACCAGAGAAAAACCCGAGGAAUCCUCAUGUGAGAAAGGCCUCCCUCACACUCCCCAAGGACUGGGACUGAAGCCCCCAGCCUGGGGAGGUGCGCGGGGGAGGCGAGCUGACCAAAGCAAGAUGGAUGUUGCAGGUGCGGGCAUUGGACCACAAAAACAAUGGCCCUCGCCCACUAAGAUAUGAACUGUGUGUACCCCUUUUCCAAAUACCAUUUUUUUUACUAGAAGAUACAAUAGAUUCAGUUUCGAAAUAAUCUCCCUUCCCCCCAUCAAAAAGUGUAUAAUUGGAGUCCAGAUGAACUGCAUCUCUGAGAUCUCCCCAACGUAACAGGCGGAUCCUCGACUGGAUUGGACCUAAGGAUUUCGUCUCUACGUUUGAUAGCUAUAUUCCCCUUUUCUUUCUCUCUCUCUUUCUCUAUCUUUCUCUCCCUUAAUCCCUCUAUUACAUUUUGCUGUGGUCAUUCAAUAA